Molecule: ribosomal RNA, 253 nt
Filed under: uncultured bacterium
Lineage: Bacteria
Description: partial 16S ribosomal RNA
Rfam family: Bacterial small subunit ribosomal RNA
Source: RNAcentral
UACGUAGGGGGCAAGCGUUAUCCGGAUUUACUGGGUGUAAAGGGAGCGUAGACGGUGAGACAAGUCUGAAGUGAAAGCCCGGGGCUCAACCCCGGGACUGCUUUGGAAACUGCCUGACUGGAGUGCUGGAGAGGCAAGCGGAAUUCCUAGUGUAGCGGUGAAAUGCGUAGAUAUUAGGAGGAACACCAGUGGCGAAGGCGGCUUACUGGACUGUAACUGACGUUGAGGCUCGAAAGCGUGGGGAGCAAACAGG